CUGGUAUUAAGAGGCCAGGCUGGAAAAGGAAGGCACCAUUUCCAUCAUAUUCUUCUGGAGAGAACUUAGUCUCAUCUUCUUCACAGAAGAUGGGGAAAGGUGGCCCAGCUGGUCAGCCCUGUGCCUGGCUGCAUUUCUGUUACUAUGGAAGGAGGGAAAAAGGAAAGCCAGCAGUGCAUGUCACCCUUACAUAAGCUCCCUCCAUCAGGAAACUUAAGACCAACUCCAUUUGAUCUGAUCAGAGGACGUCUAUAAGGACCAACACAGUGUCACAUUCAAAAGCAUCUUUCUCCCCCUCCAAUCAACCAGUGUCCUGGGGCCUUCUUACCUCUGGGUAAGUUCUUUGCUAUCUUGGGCUCUCCUAGAGGUGGACAAUGAUCUUCCUUUUGGUUGAGAGUCCUAAUUGAGGAGCCUUAAG
RNAcentral lists this long non-coding RNA (418 nucleotides) under Gorilla gorilla gorilla (western lowland gorilla). Its description in RNAcentral is "lncRNA (ENSGGOG00000044239.1)". The record is from RNAcentral. Lineage: Eukaryota; Metazoa; Chordata; Mammalia; Primates; Hominidae.